CUGAUGCCCUAUGGCUGACCAGCAGAAGUGCCCCUUUUGGAGGAGACUACUGCCUUGAAAGGCACAGCUACACUCCUGCCCUGCUCUGGCAUUUCAGACCUUCGAGGAAGAGGAAGUGGGCAAAGAGGAAGAGGAAGGGAGCAGAGAAAAAGAGGAAAGGAGCAUAGAGAAAGAGAAACGGAGCAGAGAGAAAGAGAAACGGAGCAGAAAAGAAGAGGAAAGGAGCAGAGAGGAAGAGGAAAGGAGCAGAGAGGAAGAGAAACGGAGCAGAGAGGAAGAGAAACGGAGCAGAGAGGAAGAGGAAAGGAGCAGAGAGAAAGAGGAACGGAGCAGAGAGGAAGAGGACAGGGGCAGAGAGAAGACAUCUCGGGAGAUCCUGGCUGUUCUGAGCCAACUGCCGGAGAAGCACGAUGCUCUCCUGAAGCACAUCACUCAGCUGGAGGCCCAGUUGAAGUACCCAGCAUGCCCUGCAGGGAAAGGAAUCUCUGCAAGAGACCCUGGAGCAGAUGGAGAAGCUGA
RNAcentral lists this long non-coding RNA (519 nucleotides) under Notechis scutatus (mainland tiger snake). RNAcentral describes it as "lncRNA (ENSNSUG00000003770.1)". Lineage: Eukaryota; Metazoa; Chordata; Lepidosauria; Squamata; Elapidae. The record is from RNAcentral.